UGAUCAAACACUGAGGUUUUGUCAUGCAA
This 29-nucleotide non-coding RNA is filed under the name Mus musculus (house mouse). The record is from RNAcentral. Lineage: Eukaryota; Metazoa; Chordata; Mammalia; Rodentia; Muridae.